This is a long non-coding RNA of Gossypium raimondii (Peruvian cotton), 1285 nucleotides long. RefSeq lists it as uncharacterized. The transcript has 5 exons. The record is from RefSeq and is a predicted model, not a curated record. Lineage: Eukaryota; Viridiplantae; Streptophyta; Magnoliopsida; Malvales; Malvaceae.
UACGUCCCAAAUCUGUUCCUUCCCUAAUACACCCGAUCCCGUAAUAGCUAAUACCCCCCUCCAGCACCGAUUUGAGAAUCCUUACCCAUUUCUUAUUUUCGUUUCUUUUUUUGUCCUCAUAGAUUUCUGCUUCUUCUUCCAUCGGUAUUGCUCUGUCCUCAUUUCUUCUGCUUUCAUAACAAAUCCUCAACAUUGUCUUCAUCGGAGGCCGAUUUCAGUAUUUCUUGUAGUUUUUCUCUCUUAGAAAUUGAAACAGAGAGUUUAGGAUUUUGAGAGGUUUGGAUUCUGGUGGAAGAGUUUCUUAUUUCUUGUUGUUUCUUCCUUUUUCCUGGAUCGUGCUUCUCGAUCAACCAGAGGGAGAAGGUGGGGAAGAGAGGACAAUUGCUUUCAUGAGAAGACUGGGACGUGCAAAUUCUAAAACUCCACUAUUGGGACACAGUUGUGAAAAAGGAACUAUUAAGCACUCAUUUCCUAUGAAAUAUGUCCUAAAACCAUGGAAACUUGGUCGAUGGUUUUACCAAGUUGUCAAGUUCAGCAUUGUUCAAUAUAACUCAUCGCUAUGGCUGGGUAUUUGAACAAAUAUGGUCUCAUCUCAUGGUUUAGUCAAACCGUUGUUAAGGUCGUAGGUGGAUUAGGUCUUUCAUGGCAAAUGUCAUUUGGCAUUCUGGUUCUUCUCUAUUUCUACUCGCAUUACUUCUUUGCCAGUGGAGCUACUCAUAUUGGUGCCAUGUUUACAGCCUUCUUGUCUGUGGCUACUGCUUUGGGCACUCCAUCGUAUUAGGGAGCCCUUGUUCUAUCAUUCCUCUCCAACCUAAUGGGAGGCAUUACUCAUUAUGGAAUUGGAUCCGCACCUGUAUUCUAUGGGGCGGGCUAUGUACCACUAGCAAAAUGGUGGGGAUAUGGUUUCCUGAUAUCGGUGGUGAAUAUUAUAAUCUGGCUUGGAGUAGGAGGCAUCUGGUGGAAGGCUAUUGGCUUGUGGUAAGGCAGAAUGUCAUAAAAUUUGCUGAUACUGAGCUAUGAAGGAUUUCUCACCUAACUUGAAGUUUACAGUUUCUUCUUCACAUCGGAAACUGAUUUGUCUUUGAUUCUUUACGUUGCAGAAAUAAUCUUUAUAGUGGGGUGGGGUUUAGAGGGUUGGAAAAGAAGAAAGAUUUGAGUUUGAGGUGGAGGUGGAGGUGUCAGAGCAGAACUUAGAUCUUUACCACAAAUUUUGACAAAUGGAAAAUACAUUAUUAUUUUGAAUACAUAUUAGUAAUUACAAACACAGAUUUGCUGCUUGAUAACA